Long non-coding RNA from Cryptomeria japonica (Japanese cedar), 426 nucleotides. RefSeq lists it as uncharacterized. The transcript is spliced from 2 exons. Lineage: Eukaryota; Viridiplantae; Streptophyta; Pinopsida; Cupressales; Cupressaceae. The record is from RefSeq and is a predicted model, not a curated record.
CGUAAGAGAACAGACCUGUAAUAUAUGGGCUAUAUAUACCCAACACACCUUAUUUAAUUUCAUCCUUCUAUCUUGUAUCUUAUUUCUUGGUUGCACAUAUAUCCAAAGCCAUGGCUUCUUCUUCUUCAUCCAAAUCCAAAGCUGUUUUAACUUUAAUUCUCUGCAUUCUUCUUAUCAUCGCUCUCUCCUUUCCCCAGCCAGCACAAGGGAAAUUUUUACGAGGAUUACUUGGGCGAGGAGGGUAUAACCGGGAGGAGUCCAGUGCUGACGCACCAUAAGAAUUAGUAUCUACUCAGCUUAGUACUUAAAUAAAAUGGAUUAAGCACUGCUUAAUCAUCUGAUGUGAUAAUAAUGGGAUUGUUCCCUUGAACUGGACAUGGAUGCUUAUUUACUUUAUAGUAUAAUGGAAAUUAAUUAUUAAAUUUU